CUAGUAUUUACUAAUUCAGGCAUCCGGCGUCAGGCCGGAUUAAAAGGGCAGUCCGGUGUGAUUCCGGCACUGCCUUGCAGCUUUGAAGGAGAGCCAUAUUUCUGCAAGCCUGCCAGGGAGGAAUAUGGCAAUGACCCUAAGUCAGAGUACUGCCUGAUUUUUAGUAUCCGU
This 171-nucleotide non-coding RNA is filed under the name Acetonema longum. The record is from RNAcentral. Lineage: Bacteria; Bacillati; Bacillota; Negativicutes; Acetonemataceae.